Eimeria brunetti is the source of this 1861-nucleotide non-coding RNA. The record is from Rfam. NCBI's taxonomy places the organism in Eukaryota, Apicomplexa, Conoidasida, Eucoccidiorida, Eimeriidae.
AGACCUGAAAUCAGUCGCGAUUACCCGCUGAAUUUAAGCAUAUAAAAAAAACAACAAUGAUUCCCCCAGUAGCGGCGAGUGAAGCGGGAAGAGCUCAAAGUGAAAUCGUGAGUCCCCUUUUGGCCUCGCGAAUUGUAGCCUCUAGGGGCGUGGCCAGUGGGAAGGCAAGUCUAAGUUUCUUGGAACAGAACUUCAGAGAGGGUGACAGUCCCGUCACUUGUCCUGCUUGUGAAUUUUCCCACGUACGGUGCGCUUUUAUUUAUUGAGUCGCGUUCAUUGGGAUUUGAGCGCAAAAUGUGUGAUAAGUUUCAAAUUAAAAAAGGAUACUGGCGUGAGACCGAUAGCGAACAACUGCUAUGAAGGAAAGAUGAAAAGGACUUCGGAAAGAGAGUUAAAAGUGUCUGAAAUUGCUGGAAGGGAAGCGAUUGAAACUUGUGUGUGUCGGGGGUGAUGGUCUGGUCCAGUGGUCACUUCCCCCGUAUCUCCGCUACAGGGUCUGGGGCUGUGUGUUACUGCUGUUGUCCAUAUUACGAUCCCCGGUUGCUGGUCGGCAUCAGUGGCUACCUGACUAUUCUCCCCAAGGAAGGUAGGUCCCUCGUGGCCUGUUAUAGCCUUUGGAUUUGUGUUGUUCAGGUUUCUGCUUAGGUGUGUUUUCCGCGUUCGAUGGCUCCACUUUCGAGUACUGUCGUUCUGCGAUGCUUUCCUUAACGGUUUCAACCGACCCGUCUUGAAAGACGGGCCAGGGAGUCUAACAUCUGUGCGAGUAUGCGGGUGGAAACCCCGUAUGCAUAACGGAAGUUAGAGUAGGGAGAGGUUUGCCUCCGGCAUUUUUCGCACCUACGACAGACCACGAACUCUGUGAGAGGUUUGAGUUGUAGCACACCUGUUAGGACCUGAAAUAUGGUGAACUAUGCCUGAGUAGGGUGAAGUCAGGUGAAAGCCUGACGGAAGCUCGUAGCGAUACUGACGUGCAUAUCGUUCGUCAAACUUGGGUAUAGGGUCGAAAGACUAAUCGAACUGUCUAGAAGCUGGUUUCUUCCCAAGUUUCUCUCAGGAUAGCUAGAGUUCAAUUAGCUUUAUCAGGUAAAGCGAAUGAUUAGAGGCCUCGGGGGCGGGUUGCCUUCGAGCUAUUCUCAAACUUUAAAUGGGUAAGGUCCAGUGGUUACUUCAUUGAACUGGUGGGGUUAAUAUGAACUCCAAGUGGGCCAUUUUUGGUGAGCAGAACUGGCGAUGAGGGACGCUCCUAAAGCUUGGUUAAGGUGCCUAAAUUCCCGCUCAUCAGACACAAUAAAAGGUGUUGGUUCAUUUUAACAGCAGGACGGCAAUCAUGAAAGUCGAAAUCCAAUAAGAAGUGUGUAACAACUUACCCGCCGAAUGAACCAGCCCUGAAUAUGGAUGGCGCUGCAGCGGGUUACCGAUACUAGUCCAUUGUCGCAAUAAGUAGGAAGAUGUGGGGAUCGUAGCGAAGCAUUUGGCGUGACCCUGUGCGGAACGGUCCCUAGUGCAGAUCUUGGUGGUAGUAGCAAAUAUUCAAAUGAGAACUUUGAAGACUGAAGUGGAGAAGGGUUCCAUGUGAACAUCGAUUGGAGAUGGGUUAACCGGUGCUAAGCGACAGCUUGACUGCGUGGGUUUCGGGGCUUUAUUGUCUCCGUAUUUCGAAAGGGAAUCAGGAUAAUAUUCCUGAGCCAGGACGUGGAUACUGUACGGUAACGUUAAUGAACUUUUCGAUGCAGGCGGGUGCCCCGACAAGCGUUGUCUUUGCUUCUUAACAGCCUUUAUAUAAACAUAACUUGGAAUCAGAUUAUCUGGAGAUAGGGUUGACUGGUUGGUAUAGCUUCCUGGCUUCCAGGGAGUCCGGUGC